GUCGAACGGAAAGGCCUCUUCGGAGGUACUCGAGUGGCGAACGGGUGAGUAACACGUGGGCAAUCUGCCCUGCACUUCGGGAUAAGCCUGGGAAACUGGGUCUAAUACCGGAUAGGACCUCAAGACGCAUGUCUUCUGGUGGAAAGCUUUUGCGGUGUGGGAUGGGCCCGCGGCCUAUCAGCUUGUUGGUGGGGUGACGGCCUACCAAGGCGACGACGGGUAGCCGGCCUGAGAGGGUGUCCGGCCACACUGGGACUGAGAUACGGCCCAGACUCCUACGGGAGGCAGCAGUGGGGAAUAUUGCACAAUGGGCGCAAGCCUGAUGCAGCGACGCCGCGUGGGGGAUGACGGCCUUCGGGUUGUAAACCUCUUUCACCAUCGACGAAGGUCCGGGUUUUCUCGGAUUGACGGUAGGUGGAGAAGAAGCACCGGCCAACUACGUGCCAGCAGCCGCGGUAAUACGUAGGGUGCGAGCGUUGUCCGGAAUUACUGGGCGUAAAGAGCUCGUAGGUGGUUUGUCGCGUUGUUCGUGAAAUCUCACGGCUUAACUGUGAGCGUGCGGGCGAUACGGGCAGACUAGAGUACUGCAGGGGAGACUGGAAUUCCUGGUGUAGCGGUGGAAUGCGCAGAUAUCAGGAGGAACACCGGUGGCGAAGGCGGGUCUCUGGGCAGUAACUGACGCUGAGGAGCGAAAGCGUGGGGAGCGAACAGGAUUAGAUACCCUGGUAGUCCACGCCGUAAACGGUGGGUACUAGGUGUGGGUUUUCUUCCUUGGGAUCCGUGCCGUAGCUAACGCAUUAAGUACCC
Molecule: ribosomal RNA, 807 nt
Filed under: uncultured Mycobacterium sp.
Lineage: Bacteria; Bacillati; Actinomycetota; Actinomycetes; Mycobacteriales; Mycobacteriaceae
Description: bacterial SSU rRNA
Rfam family: Bacterial small subunit ribosomal RNA
Source: RNAcentral